AGGGCUAGAAGAGGAGCGUCAUUCAGGUAGUUAUGGGAAGGAGAGCAAACUCCAAAGCACCAUAACGAGGGGAAUGUACGCCGAGAGACCUGUAAAGUUUGCUACUUACUGUCUCGGGCGCAUGGGUUGAAUCCCAGCGACUGUCACCAUUAGCGCUUAGCGCUAUGUUUUUGGUGGAGAGCUUCUGGUCUU
RNAcentral lists this non-coding RNA (192 nucleotides) under Pseudoalteromonas ruthenica. RNAcentral describes it as "Lysine sequence". It matches the Rfam family "Lysine riboswitch aptamer". Rfam says of the family: Riboswitches are metabolite binding domains within certain messenger RNAs that serve as precision sensors for their corresponding targets. The record is from Rfam by way of RNAcentral. Lineage: Bacteria; Pseudomonadati; Pseudomonadota; Gammaproteobacteria; Alteromonadales; Pseudoalteromonadaceae.